CAAGGCUAGGCUACAUAAGGCACCUGUGCCCCUUUGUCAUGUCUUUGCUUCCUGAUCUGUCCCUGCUGUGGUUGUGGCUAGUGUUUGUUGCACCAAGGAAGCCUUCUAAAUGACUUCAAUCAUCAGUCUCCCUGAAACUAUUCAGCUGUUAAGAGUCAAACGUGCAACCCUCCCCUUCCACCUGCGGGCAUCGUCAACCACGGCUUCCUGGGUCCCUUUGCAGCGGACCGCUCCUUCGUUUGGUCUCUGGGUUCCCUGUCCACCAUCACCAGUGUCUAGGCUCCAUCGGGGGGGAAUAUGUCUGGCUUCUCUACCCCUUUAAAAUAUGUUAAUGAUUGCGUCUAAUCCCAAAGACUCUGGUGCCAUCUUGUUGGGAGCCAGGCAGCCGUGGUGAGGUUCCUUCACUGUUGCAUUUCCAGCUUUCAUCACCAUGACAAUGCAGAACACACAGCAGGCAGAAACUAAUCUCACAACUAAAGGCCAUAAAACCACGAGGGAGCCACGGCAGCUUUUGACAUUUUUGGAGAGGAU
Molecule: long non-coding RNA, 531 nt
Organism: Perca fluviatilis (European perch)
Lineage: Eukaryota; Metazoa; Chordata; Actinopteri; Perciformes; Percidae
Exons: 5
Source: RefSeq, a predicted model, not a curated record